Molecule: long non-coding RNA, 249 nt
Filed under: Setaria italica (foxtail millet)
Lineage: Eukaryota; Viridiplantae; Streptophyta; Magnoliopsida; Poales; Poaceae
Description: long non-coding RNA (SITA_LNC001701)
Source: RNAcentral
UACAAGUCACGCAUUGUCGCUCACAUAGACAACCUCCCGUAUCAAGAGGGUAUUCUGCUUAUUUCAACCCGCGAAGAAGGAAGCACUACGGAGAUUGCAACAUCAAGCUCUGGAAGUUACUACCGGGACAGAGAAAUCUUCGUCAUCACGUCACCAAACAACGACGCAGGUGCCAGCCACCAAAAAACUCCUCGACGGGUUGCAUAACUCAACGACGUUUCACAGGACGAAUCGACAGCUAACGCCCCG